UCUCUGGCUAUCUGGGGUGAUGAGAGAAGUACCAUCCACAAAGAGUAUUCAGUCAGAGUUCGGGAGGGGUUGGUCAGAAAGUCCUGGAUGUGGAGGAAUCAGCUCUUCCAGGAGUUGAGGGCAGGAAUGGGAGGGUUCUG
RNAcentral lists this microRNA precursor (140 nucleotides) under Canis lupus familiaris (dog). RNAcentral describes it as "miRNA (ENSCAFG00000054230.1)". Lineage: Eukaryota; Metazoa; Chordata; Mammalia; Carnivora; Canidae. The record is from RNAcentral.